GAUCAGUCAUUCUGAUUACCAAAUUCAAGCAUGCAAAAUUGGUAAGGAGGGACCUUGGAUGCAGAAAACCUCAGUGAGCUGCCUGGGGACCAGGAUCCUCCGGCCCUGUCUCCCCCGCCUCCCGCUGCCACUGCAGUAGGGGCCUUGGACUCGGGAAGAGAGACAAUUUUAUAGGCUGCGGCAAAAUAUAUUAUGUGAAUUAUCAUCCCUUGCUUAUGCUCCUCUGUAUUGUGUAUGAAAGGAAGAUGUUACGACUUGGAUGAAAAAGUAUUCUCCAAGAGACCCAG
This 287-nucleotide long non-coding RNA is filed under the name Chinchilla lanigera (long-tailed chinchilla). Its description in RNAcentral is "lncRNA (ENSCLAG00000023966.1)". Lineage: Eukaryota; Metazoa; Chordata; Mammalia; Rodentia; Chinchillidae. The record is from RNAcentral.